Molecule: transfer RNA, 56 nt
Filed under: Pavlova gyrans
Lineage: Eukaryota; Haptophyta; Pavlovophyceae; Pavlovales; Pavlovaceae
Description: partial Selenocysteine transfer RNA
Source: RNAcentral
AGUCCACCGUGGUGACCGUCACGGGCUUCAAGCUCAUCGACGAGGAGGGCCGGGUG